AUGAUGCCUAUGAUAGGUUUUAAAUAUUCUUCGAGUAACUAUUAUGAAAAGGAAUUGUCUGAGGCAUUUG
Magnolia sinica is the source of this 70-nucleotide small nucleolar RNA. The record is from RefSeq and is a predicted model, not a curated record. NCBI's taxonomy places the organism in Eukaryota, Viridiplantae, Streptophyta, Magnoliopsida, Magnoliales, Magnoliaceae.